RNAcentral lists this ribosomal RNA (447 nucleotides) under uncultured bacterium. RNAcentral describes it as "bacterial SSU rRNA". It matches the Rfam family "Bacterial small subunit ribosomal RNA", at positions 355 to 796 of the family's 1533-position model. The record is from RNAcentral.
UCGAGAAUCUUCCGCAAUGGGCGCAAGCCUGACGGAGCGACGCCGCGUGGAGGAAGAAGGCCUUCGGGUUGUAAACUCCUGUCACGACUUACGAAAGCGCGAGGCGUAACAACCCCGCGUCGACGAAGGGUCGGAAGGAAGCCACAGCUAACUUCGUGCCAGCAGCUGCGGUAAGACGAAGGUGGCAAGCGUUGUUCGGAUUCACUGGGCAUAAAGGGCGCGUAGGCGGUUCCGCAAGUGGCGUGUGAAAGCCCCCGGCUCAACCGGGGAAGUGCACGCCAGACUGCGGUUCUAGAGGGCGGUAGGGGGGACUGGAACUCUCGGUGGAGCGGUGAAAUGCGUAGAUAUCGAGAGGAACACCGGCGGCGAAGGCGAGUCCCUGGUCCGCAUCUGACGCUGAGGCGCGAAAGCGUGGGUAGCAAACAGGAUUAGAUACCCCCGUAGUCC